This is a long non-coding RNA of Gigantopelta aegis, 577 nucleotides long. RefSeq lists it as uncharacterized. Lineage: Eukaryota; Metazoa; Mollusca; Gastropoda; Neomphalida; Peltospiridae. The record is from RefSeq and is a predicted model, not a curated record. The transcript is spliced from 3 exons.
GAAAAGGGCGCAUUACCGCCAUGGGCACGUGUGGUAGACGGGGUUUUUAGCACGACUUUCUGGCACCUUUCUACUGGUUGAUUGAAUCAGAAGUAUUACCCCAGCCUGCUGUCUUGCAGCGAGAGUGGUCGAAUGCUGUGCUGGUGAGUGGAAGGCAAACCGGUCGAAUACAGCCGUUUGUAGACAGUGGUGGGCUGAACGGUACAACAGCUAGGUCAGCACCUGAAAGAACCAUUUUAAAGAGAGUAUUAAGUCCCCUCUAUCCGUGACAUAACAUAUACACUGGGCAGGGCUAGUGGAACUCGAGCUACAAAUAUGUCCAGACUACAGUUUGCUUCUUCUUUCUCGGAGUCCUCCCCGCCCCUACCAGCACCGGGAUUCGAACCUUGUGUCUAAAUGAGAUAUAUCUGAUACCUGUUGGCACACGUCUUCGUGGUGAGAAUGGCGGCUGUACCGACGAGAACUCCAGAACAAGUGAGUUCGCGCGAUGAGGAGUACUCGAAGAAUGAGACUACCCACGGUAGAUUACACUCCGGGCUAUCAUCGCCAUUCAGAAUUCGGCCAGCUUUCACGGGCA